This is a long non-coding RNA of Corvus hawaiiensis (hawaiian crow), 1363 nucleotides long. RefSeq lists it as uncharacterized. The record is from RefSeq and is a predicted model, not a curated record. The transcript is spliced from 2 exons. Lineage: Eukaryota; Metazoa; Chordata; Aves; Passeriformes; Corvidae.
CUGUUUCCCUUUGGGGAUGGGGAGUCUCUGGGCUGAGGUGAGAUUGCUGUGUGAGUGGCAGGGAACAGGGAGCUGAGAAUUGCAGGCACUGAUGGAAUAGUUGUCUUAGGUCUGUUUGGUUUGUGUUGGUGAAAACUGGGAUGUGGGCUGGAGAGGUGCUCUUGGGAACAAUGGAUAGAGUACAUUUGCUCCAUGGAUGUGUAAGGAAGGACAGGGAAGGGGGGAGUAUUUAUAAACUGUUCUCAGUAUUUCAUGCAACUUUGGGGUGGAGCAGCGAUGCGGGUGGGUGGGUUUGGCCUGGGCCUGUCAGGACUAACCCCAAAGAAUCCAACCAAGCCCCUGACCCCUCAAGGCAUCUGUGAAACGCUUCCACAGCAACCCAAGUCAGAAAUCCAGUGAUUAUGGAGGUAAAAUUAUAGAUGCUGGGAUUGCCUCUGGGCACAUGUGCUGAGCUCUCCCUGCAGGGAACUGUCAGCCCUGAAUGCCUGUGCACUAACUGCAGCUGCCCAGGCAGGCACAGGAAACUAUUCCACACAUGAAAUUGCCAUGACCCAAGGCCCUCCUGGAGAGAGUGUAGAGAGUUACAGCACUGAUCCUGCUCCCUGCUUUCCCAGUAGUGCAUGAACAUGAUUUCAUCCUGAUCCUGAGAGCGCCAAGGACAAUAACCACUGAGGUGCCACUGAUGAUGCCACUUUUCUGAUGGGCCUGGCCCAGAACCAUAGCCCAGCAGGGUUCUGUGGGAGCAGUUCAGUUCCCCCUCCCUUCCUGCACUCUGGGCAGUUCCAGGAGACACCUGAUCCCUUUCCUAGGCUGCCACCACAGCCUAAGCUCCCACCCCCACUGGGCUGUGAUGGCAUCAGCCCACCCAGAGCUAGCUGCCUGCUCCGGCCCUUGUGCCGCUGCUGCACAUCAGGCCCGGCCAGGGGAGCUAAAAUAGAGCCUGGAACUCUCAAGGGUAAACUGGCAGCACAACCACAACCCUCCCUCACUUGAGAGUAAAGAGGUGUCCCUGUAUUUACACACAUCCAGGAACAAUACUUCUCUAGAGGAGUCUUGGAUUUACUUUUUUUAUCAGUUGAACUGGCACAGCUGCCCCCUGAUGCCAUUAAAUUCUCCAUCCCCACAAUCCCUGGUUACCCUUGGCUGUGGGGUUUUUGCUGUCCCACAGUGAGUUAGGAGGGAUCUCUGGCCAGCCUCAUUGCCCAAGAGCAUUUGAAAUCCUAAUCCUCACUUCUCUGACUACUGAAUGUCUUAAAAGCCACUCUGCAUUGUGCAGACAAGCGCCUUGGUCCCACUGGGAACUGCACAUCUCUAACAGCUGUUAUCAGUUAUUCCAACUGAGUAAAAUAAUUAUUAAAGAAAA